This 319-nucleotide unclassified non-coding RNA is filed under the name uncultured fungus. RNAcentral describes it as "partial contains 5.8S ribosomal RNA, internal transcribed spacer 2, and large subunit ribosomal RNA". The record is from RNAcentral. Lineage: Eukaryota; Fungi.
AACGCAAAUUGCGCUCGAGGCUUCGGCCAAGAGCAUGUCUGCCUCAGCGUCGGCUACUACCCUCAACUAAAUUUCAUUGGUGAAUUCCGGUGAAAGGCAGUUGGAUCUGGCCGUCCGGUUUGCCCUUUGGGUGGCCGGUCAGCUGAAAUAUAUUCACGCUUUGGGGGCCGCUUUCCUUUCGAGGAAAGGCGAGUUCCGAUUUGGUAGGUGACCUUUGCCGGUUGCAUGCCUUCGUUGCCCGCUGUGCUCCCAAAUGCGUUGUGCAGGACGCCUUUUGGCUUUCGACCUGAGGUCAGGCAAGAACACCCGCUGAACUUAA